AACGAACGCUGGCGGCGCGCCUAAUACAUGCAAGUCGAGCGAGAAGGUGUAGCAAUACACUUGUAAAGCGGCGAACGGGUGAGGAAUACAUGGGUAAUCUACCAUCGAGUGGGGAAUAACCAACCGAAAGGUUGGCUAAUACCGCGUACGCCUCCGAGUCUUCGGGUUCGGAGGGAAAGCUGCACUGUGAGUGUAGCGCUCUUUGAUGAGCUCAUGUCCUAUCAGCUUGUUGGUAGGGUAACGGCCUACCAAGGCUUUGACGGGUAGCUGGUCUGAGAGGACGAUCAGCCACACUGGCACUGCGACACGGGGCCAGACUCCUACGGGAGGCAGCAGUAAGGAAUAUUGCGCAAUGGGCGAAAGCCUGACGCAGCGACGCCGCGUGGGGAUGAAGGUCUUCGGAUUGUAAACCCCUUUCGGGAGGGAAGAUGGAGCGAGCAAUCGUUCGGACGGUACCUCCAGAAGCAGCCACGGCCAACUUCGUGCCAGCA
RNAcentral lists this ribosomal RNA (491 nucleotides) under uncultured bacterium. Its description in RNAcentral is "bacterial SSU rRNA". It matches the Rfam family "Bacterial small subunit ribosomal RNA", at positions 29 to 513 of the family's 1533-position model. The record is from RNAcentral.